GCCGAACAUCCAGCCUAUAAACUUUUUAAGCAAACUCACAACAGACCACACACAAAAUAAAACAUUUUCAUGUUUAAGUAGAGGCGAUUAAAAAAACUCCAAGAGCUUUAACUUCAGUACCGCAAGGGAAAGAUGAAAUAUAAAUGAAACAAAAUUAAGCACAAAAUAGUAGAGAUAUAAACUCGUACCUUUUGCAUCAUGGUCUAGCAAGUCCCCAUCAAGCAAAAUGAAAUUCAAGUUUGAUUUCCCGAAACUAGGCGAGCUACUUCAAAACAGCCUGUAGGGCCAACCCGUCUCUGUUGCAAAAGAGUGGGAAGAUUUUCAAGUAGAGGUGACAAGCCAACCGAGCCUAGAGAUAGCUGGUUAUUCAAGAAAAGAAUUUUAGUUCCGCCUUAAGCUUCUGCUUGACACUAAACAAGCCAUUAAACUUAAGAGCUAUUCAAAUAAGGCACAGCUUAUUUGAAAAAGGAUACAACCUAAACCUUAGGGUAAGAGCCAAACAAUUUAAUAAAGUAGGCCUAAAAGCAGCCACCUUUCAAAAAGCGUUAAAGCUUUGUUUUUGAGUGAUCCAAUAUCACCAAUCAUUACAAACCCAUCCACACUAUUGAAUGACUUCAUAAACUAUGAAGACCCCCAUGCUAGAACUAGUAACAAGAAAAUGACUUUCUCCAAAGUGUAAGUAUAAACCAAUAAUUGACAAUCCACGGGUACUUAACGACAAUGAACCACCUAUAGCAACCACACAAGAGAACUCUAUAGCCCCUGCCGUUAACCUUACACAAGAACACUUCUGGAAAGAUUAAAAGGAAGAGAAGGAACUCGGCAAAUUUUAACCCCGCCUGUUUACCAAAAACAUCGCCUCUUGAAAAAAUAUAAGAGGUCCAGCCUGCCCACUGAUUUAAUUCAACGGCCGCGUGAUUUUAAGCGCGCAAAGGUAGCAUAAUCAUUUGUUCUUUAAAUAAGGACUAGUAUCAAUGGCACCACGAGGGCUAUACUGUCUCCUCUACCCAAUCAGUGAAACUAAUCUUCCUGUGAAAAAGCAGGAAUACCACUAUAAGACGAAAAGACCCCAUGGAGCUUAAAACACGGCAACAACCAUAAUACUGUAAACCAACAGAAUUUCAAGCCAUGUCUGCUAGUUUUAGGUUGGGGUGACCGCGGAGCACAACAAAACCUCCACAGCAAAAAGGGCCUCCCCAUAUCCAAGAGAUACUGCUCUAAGAAUCAACAAUAUGAUGCUCAAUGACCCGACCAUCGAUCAACGGACCAAGUUACCCUGGGGAUAACAGCGCAAUCUACUUAGAGAGCCCAUAUCGACAAGCAGGCUUACGACCUCGAUGUUGGAUCAGGAUGUCCCAGUGGUGCAGCCGCUACUAAAGGUUUGUUUGUUCAACAAUU
This 1398-nucleotide ribosomal RNA is filed under the name Occidozyga sumatrana. Its description in RNAcentral is "partial 16S large subunit ribosomal RNA". It matches the Rfam family "Bacterial large subunit ribosomal RNA", at positions 150 to 2589 of the family's 2925-position model. The record is from RNAcentral. Lineage: Eukaryota; Metazoa; Chordata; Amphibia; Anura; Dicroglossidae.